This 3015-nucleotide ribosomal RNA is filed under the name Fidelibacterota bacterium 408169. RNAcentral describes it as "bacterial LSU rRNA". It matches the Rfam family "Bacterial large subunit ribosomal RNA". The record is from RNAcentral. Lineage: Bacteria; Pseudomonadati; Fidelibacterota.
UAAAGUUAUUAAGGGCGUACGGGGAAUGCCUAGGCACAUGGAGCCGAUGAAGGACGUGGUAAGCUGCGAAAAGCCUCGGGAAGGAGCAAACAUCCUUAGAUCCGGGGAUUUCCGAAUGGGGCAACCCAAAUCGAGUCAUGUCGAUUAACUCCUGUCUGAAUAUAUAGGACAGGGUGAGACAACGAGGUGAACUGACACAUCUAAGUAACCUCAGGAAGAGAAACCAAAAGGGAUUUCCUCAGUAGCGGCGAGCGAACGGGAAAGAGCCUAAACCGCCAACGUGCCAAGCUUACAGGCGUUGCGCUGACGGGGUUGUGGGAUCGAUUCAGAGUCUGCUGUAACAGACUCGGCAAGUCAAAAAAUCUGAUAUUAAUUGAAUGGUCUGGAAAGUCCAACCGUAGAAGGUGAUAGUCCUGUAAGUGAAAAUUGAAGAUCUUGUUGGAAUUGACACCCGAGUAACACGGGACACGAGAAAUCUUGUGUGAAUCUGCCGGGACCAUCCGGUAAGGCUAAAUACUCCCAUGUGACCGAUAGUGAACUAGUACCGUGAGGGAAAGGUGAAAAGUACUCCUAACGGAGAGUGAAAUAGAACCUGAAACCGUAUGCCUACAAGCAGUCAGAGCUCCAGUUAUCUUCGGAUAGCGGAGUGAUGGCGUGCCUUUUGCAUAAUGAGCCAGUGAGUUACUCGUAUAUUGCAAGGUUAAGACUAUAAGGUCGGAGCCGUAGCGAAAGCAAGUCUGAAUAGGGCGUUGAGUAAUAUGCGGUAGACCCGAAACCGAGUGAUCUAGCCAUGGUCAGGAUGAAGUCCCGGUAACACGGGAUGGAGGUCCGAACCCACCAGCGUUGAAAAGCUGGGGGAUGAACUGUGGUUAGGGGUGAAAGGCCAAUCAAACUCGGAGAUAUCUGGUUCUCGCCGAAAUGCCUUUAGGGGCAGCGUCAUGUUAGUAUACCGGGGGUAGAGCACUGAAUGGGCUAGGGGGCCUACAAGCUUACCGACCCCAAUCAAACUCCGAAUACCGGUAUUAUAAUGCAUGGCAGUGAGCUCAUGGGGGAUAAGCUUCAUGAACAAAAGGGAAAGAACCCAGACCAUCAGCUAAGGUCCCAAAGUCGAUGCUAAGUGAUAAAGGAUGUCAAAUCGCCCAGACAGCUAGGAGGUUGGCUUAGAAGCAGCCAUCCUUUAAAGAAAGCGUAACAGCUCACUAGUCGAGGGGUUUUGCGCCGAUAAUUUCCGGGACUAAGCAUCGCACCGAAGCUAUGGACUUUGACAUUUGUAUGUCAGAGUGGUAGGCGAGCGUUCCAUCGACCGUCGAAGGUUGACCCGUGAGGGCAGCUGGAGGAAAUGGAAAUGAGUAUGCUGGCAUGAGUAGCGAUAAAGCCUGUGAAAUGCAGGCUCGCCGCAAGCCCAAGGUUUCCUGAGUAAAGUUAAUCUGCUCAGGGUUAGUCGGACCCUAAGCCGAGGCCGAAAGGCGUAGGCGAUGGAAAACAGGUUUAAUAUUCCUGUACCAGUGCAACAUUGUUUGAACUAAGGGGGGACGCAGAAGUGAAAGGUCAGCCCGGUUUUGAUAGUCCGGGUUUAAGUGCGUAGGGAGUCCUGGUAGGUAAAUCCGCCGGGACAUUAAUCCUGAGACACGAAUAGGAGAGCCUAGCUCAUAAACUGACCCUAAUCAUGCUGCCAAGAAAAUCCUCUAUGUUAGAUGCUGCGCUGACCGUACCGUAAACGGACACACGUGGGCGAGGAGAGUAUCCUCAGGCGCUUGUGAGAAUCCAGGUUAAGGAACUCGGCAAAUUAGCCCCGUAACUUCGGGAGAAGGGGUGCCCUUAUUAGGUGAAAGACUUCGCGUCCGGAGCCGAAAAGGGCCGCAGUGACCAGGCUCAAUCGACUGUUUACUAAAAACACAGGUCUCUGCUAAGUCGCAAGACGACAUAUAGGGACUGACACCUGCCCGGUGCUGGAAGGUUAAAUGGAGGGGUUAUCCGCCAACUGGCGGAGAAGCUCUGAAAUGAAGCCCCAGUAAACGGCGGCCGUAACUAUAACGGUCCUAAGGUAGCGAAAUUCCUUGUCGGGUAAGUUCCGACCUGCACGAAUGGUGUAACGAAUUGAGCACUGUCUCGACCUGGAGCACAGCGAAAUUGAAGUGUCGGUGAAGAUACCGGCUACCCGCGGCAGGACGAAAAGACCCCGUGAACCUUUACUACAACUUAGCAUUGGAUUCUGGUUCUGCAUGUGCAGGAUAGGUGGGAGGCUUUGAAGCUCGGACGCUAGUCCGGGUGGAGCCAACCUUGAAAUACCACCCUUGUAUUGCUAGAACUCUAAUCCCGACCCGUGAAUCCGGGCGAGAGACAGUGUUAGGUGGGUAGUUUGACUGGGGCGGUCUCCUCCCAAAAGGUAACGGAGGAGCUCAAAGGUUCCCUCAGCACGGUCGGUAAUCGUGCGUAGAGUGCAAAGGCAUAAGGGAGCUUAACUGCGAGGUCGACGGACCGAGCAGGUGCGAAAGCAGGACUUAGUGAUCUGGUGGUUCCGUAUGGAAGGGCCAUCACUCAACGGAUAAAAGGUACUCCGGGGAUAACAGGCUUAUCUCCCCCAAGAGUUCACAUCGACGGGGAGGUUUGGCACCUCGAUGUCGGCUCAUCACAUCCUGGAGCUGGAGAAGGUUCCAAGGGUUGGGCUGUUCGCCCAUUAAAGUGGUACGUGAGCUGGGUUUAGAACGUCGUGAGACAGUUCGGUCUCUAUCCGCCGUGGGCGCAAGAUAUUUGAGGGAAUCUGCUUCUAGUACGAGAGGACCGAAGUGGACGAACCUCUGGUGUACCAGUUGUUCCAUCAGGAGCACGGCUGGGUAGCUAUGUUCGGACCGGAUAAGCGCUGAAAGCAUAUAAGCGCGAAACCGAUCCCAAGAUAAGAUAUCUCUAACUUAAGUUAAUAAGGCUCGUUGUAGACUACGACGUUGAUAGGCUGUAGGUGUAAGGCCAGUAAUGGUUUUAGCUGAGCAGUACUAAUAAGCCGAAAGGCUUUACCAA